GGAAACAGCUUGCUGUUUCGCUGACGAGUGGCGGACGGGUGAGUAAUGUCUGGGAAACUGCCUGAUGGAGUGGGGAUAACUACUGGAAACGGUAGCUAAUACCGCAUAACGUCGCAAGACCAAAGAGGGGGACCCUCGGAGCCUCUUGCCAUCGGAUGUGCCCAGAUGGGAUUAGCUUGUUGGUGGGGUAGCGGCUCACCAAGGCGACGGAUCCCUAGCUGGUCUGAGAGGAUGACCAGCCACACUGGAAACUGAGACACGGUCCAGACUCCUACGGGAGGCAGCAGUGGGGAAUAUUGCACAAUGGGCGCAAGCCUGCAUGCAGCCAUGCCGCGUGUAUGAAGAAGGCCUUCGGGUUGUAAAGUACUUUCAGCGGGGAGGAAGGGAGUAAACGUUAAUACCUUUGCUCAUUGACGUUACCCGCAGAAGAAGCACCGGCUAACUCCGUGCCAGCAGCCGCGGUAAUACGGAGGGUGCAAGCGUUAAUCGGAAUUACUGGGCGUAAAGCGCACGCAGGCGGUUUGUUAAGUCAGAUGUGAAAUCCCCGGGCUCAACCUGGGAACUGCAUCUGAUACUGGCAAGCUUGAGUCUCGUAGAGGGGGGUAGAAUUCCAGGUGUAGCG
This 622-nucleotide ribosomal RNA is filed under the name uncultured Pseudomonadota bacterium. RNAcentral's name for it is "bacterial SSU rRNA". It matches the Rfam family "Bacterial small subunit ribosomal RNA", at positions 71 to 680 of the family's 1533-position model. The record is from RNAcentral. Lineage: Bacteria; Pseudomonadati; Pseudomonadota.